This is a non-coding RNA of Bos taurus (domestic cattle), 74 nucleotides long. NCBI's taxonomy places the organism in Eukaryota, Metazoa, Chordata, Mammalia, Artiodactyla, Bovidae. The record is from Rfam.
GUCUCUGUGGUGCCAUGGGUUAGUGAGUUCAGCUGUUAAUUGAAAAGUUGGUGGUUCGAGCCCAUCCAGGAACG